AGCUCAUAACUAAUAAGCUCAUAACACUCAAAUGUCGUUUUGUAGUUGAGCAAACUAUAAAGUAUCGAGCUCUGUUGGCUUUUAUGCAACUUUAAUUGAAUAGGGCUCAAUAUUUUUUAGCUAAUUUGUUUGGAACGCUCAAAAAGUUUAAGAAGCAUAUAUUAGUGACGUUCUGGUGGGUGGAGUCUUGUCGCUCCCUCAGGAAAGCCGAGUCAGCCAUCUUGAAUUUACCUUGAUGCGGGGAAGAUUUGGCCAGCCCGUGUGGAUUAAGAGUCCCCAACUUCAACCCACCACGACCACCACCUUAAUUUUUUUCAUCAACUGCCCUAAAUUUGGUAAGUCUAACGUGUUUUUGUUUUGUUUAAAUUUAAUUUCGAUAAACAGUCUUUUUAUUCUUUACUGGAAAUAUAUUCGUACUUUGUGCACAGUGAAUGUUUGUUAUAAAUAAAUUUGAAUCCAAGUAAUUGUAAUUUUAGAAGUUUUCGAAUGUGACAAAUACGUAAUCUUAUUUCAAAUUACAACAGUGUAACGUUUUGGCGGUUUUCCGUGGGGGACAACAUUUCCCAUAAUGCAUUGUAUUCUUGCCCGGGAAGUUGAUGGUGGCAGUUCUAGCUCCAUGCGUUUGAACUUUCUACUAAAACUUUCUACUGUCCGUUUCUACCGGUUGUCAUAUUCGCCGGUAAUGCACGUGCGUAUUUUUAGAGGGGUAUUCCACUAAGCGAGCUCUACAAGUCAAGGCUGGGCAGUGGGUCCAUGAAUAAACUGCCUCACUCCUGCAGGUGUCUUUCCAUACUUCCCAUCGUUCCAAGAACCAAAAGAUGGCUGCUGCCCAGAAGCAUGUGCUGUGUGUGUAUGUUGAACGAGACACUGCGCUGAAACUUACUCUACUUGAGCGACCAAAGUCAGUGGAGGAGCUGAAAGAAGUAAUUUAAGAGAGGUUCAAGCCAAGACUGAAUGGGGACUUUAGCCUUCACUAUGUCCUCAUGGACACAACCUAUGCACUAUGUCGCCAAGAAAUUGUUGGAGCUCCACGAGUGAGAGACGUCGUGGACAGAUGGCCAGUCCUACUUAUGGAGUCACAGGUGGUUGCAGAGUCCCACCGAAUCAACAGUGUUAACCUGCACACUUAAUUCUACAAGGAGCUGGACAGACACACGCCUAGACUCAUCACUUUGUUCCGAGACAAGGCCAUCAAGACUGGCAAGAUUGCAGAGGAGCUAGCAAAGCUCAUGAGAAUUUAUGACAUUCAGGAACAGCGUGAUGUAAAUACAAGACGGGCCCUCGUCCUUCGUGCACUUCCUGUGUACCUGCGUGAAGAUGCCUCCACGUUAUUCAGGACUUGUGAUUCAGCAGAUGGUCCAGACCUCA
This is a long non-coding RNA of Oreochromis niloticus (Nile tilapia), 1368 nucleotides long. RefSeq lists it as uncharacterized. Lineage: Eukaryota; Metazoa; Chordata; Actinopteri; Cichliformes; Cichlidae. The transcript is spliced from 6 exons. The record is from RefSeq and is a predicted model, not a curated record.